Long non-coding RNA from Orcinus orca (killer whale), 1403 nucleotides. RefSeq lists it as uncharacterized. The transcript is spliced from 2 exons. The record is from RefSeq and is a predicted model, not a curated record. Lineage: Eukaryota; Metazoa; Chordata; Mammalia; Artiodactyla; Delphinidae.
AUCCUUGCUGGGUAGGGUAAUCUUGGUUGUAGGUUUUUCCCUUUCAUCACUUUAAAUAUGUUCUGCCACUCCCUUCUGGCUUGCAGAGUUUCUGCUGAAAGAUCAGCUGUUAACCUUAUGGGGAUUCCCUUGUGUGUUAUUUUUCCCUUGCUGCUUUUAAUAUGUUUUCUUUGUAUUUAAUUUUUGAUAGUUUGAUUAAUACGUGUCUUGGCGUUUUUCUCCUUGGAUUUAUCCUGUAUGGGACUCUCUGUACUUCCUGGACUUGAUUAACUAUUUCCUUUCCCAUAUUAGGGAAAUUUUCAACUAUAAUCUCUUCAAAUAUUUUCUUAGUCCCUUUCUUUUUCUCUUCUUCUUCUGGGACCUGUAUAAUUUGAAUGUUGGUGCGUUUAAUGUUGUCCCAGAGGUCUCUGACACUCUCCUUAAUUCUUUUCAUUCUUUUUUCUUUAUUCUGCUCUGCAGUAGUUAUUUCCACUGUUUUAUCUUCCAGGUCACUUAUCCAUUCUUCUGCCUCAGUUAUUCUGCUAUUGAUCCCUUCUAGAGAAUUUUUAAUUUCUUUUAUUGUAUCGUUCAUCACUGUUUGUUUGUUAUUCAGUUCUUCUAGGUCCUUGUUAAAUGUUCCGUGUAUUUCCUCCAUUUUAUUUCCAAGAUUUUGGAUCAUCUUUACUAUCAUUAUUCUGAAUUCUUUUUCAGGUAUACUGCCUAUUUCCUCUUCAUUUGUUAGGUCUGGUGGGUUUUUACCUUGCUCCUUCAUCUGCUGUGUGUUUCUCUGUCUUCUCAUUUUGCUUCACUUACUGUAUUUGGGGUCUCCUUUUCGCAGGCUGCAGGUUCAUAGUUCCCGUUGUUUUUGGUGUCUGUCCCCAGUGGCUAAGGUUGGUUUAGUGGGUUGUGUAGGCUUCCUGGUGGAGGGUACUAGUGCGUGUGUUCUGGUGGAUGAGGCUGGAUCUUGUCUUUUUGGUGGGCUGGUCCACAUCUGGUGGCGUGUUUUGGGGUGUCUGUUACCUUAUUAUGAUUUUAGGCAGCCUCUGUGCUGAUGGAUGGGGUUGUGUUCCUGUCUUGCUAGUUGUUUGGCAUAGGGUGUCCAGCACUGUAGCUUGCUGGUCGUUGAGUGAAGCUGGCUCUUGGCAUUGAGAUGGAGUUCUCUGGGAGAUUUUUGCCAUUUGAUAUUACGUGGAGCUGGGAGGUCUUUGUUGACCAGUGCCCUGAACUUGGUUCUCCCACCUCCGAGGCACAGCCCUGAUGCCUGGCUGGAGCACCAAGAGUCUUUCAUCAACAUGGCUCAGAAUAAAAGGGAGAAAAAAUAGGAAGAAAGAAGACAAAGUAAAAUGAAAUAAAGUAUUUAAAAUAAAAAAUAAUUAUUAAGAAAUAAUUUUUAAAAAGUAAAACAAAACAAAACACACAAUAAA